RNAcentral lists this transfer RNA (73 nucleotides) under Patiria miniata (bat star). RNAcentral describes it as "tRNA-Thr". It matches the Rfam family "tRNA". From Rfam's summary of the family: Transfer RNA (tRNA) molecules are approximately 80 nucleotides in length. Their secondary structure includes four short double-helical elements and three loops (D, anti-codon, and T loops). Further hydrogen bonds mediate the characteristic L-shaped molecular structure. tRNAs have two regions of fundamental functional importance: the anti-codon, which is responsible for specific mRNA codon recognition, and the 3' end, to which the tRNAs corresponding amino acid is attached (by aminoacyl-tRNA synthetases). tRNAs cope with the degeneracy of the genetic code in two manners: having more than one tRNA (with a specific anti-codon) for a particular amino acid; and 'wobble' base-pairing, i.e. permitting non-standard base-pairing at the 3rd anti-codon position. The record is from Rfam by way of RNAcentral. Lineage: Eukaryota; Metazoa; Echinodermata; Asteroidea; Valvatida; Asterinidae.
GGCUGGAUAGCUCAGUUGGUAGAGCACCGAAACGGUAAUCCGGAGGUCGCAGGUUCAAACCCUGCUCCAGUCA